ACACAAAUCUUCUUAGACGCGGGAUUUGAAAGAAGAUGGGUCGGAUUAAUGGAUCCUUUUUUCUCAUUCUUCUUUCACACUAAUCCACAAACCCUAAAAAACAUAGUUGCAGCCACCGCCAAGAUCCUCCAUCAGUUACACAAAAUCUCACCUACCGACAAUAAUCUUCUUCGAAUUCAUCCUCAUCGCUACAUCUUCUUCUUCAAUCCAUGAUUACAAGAUAUCUCCUUUUUUGAGAUAUUGACUUCAACAACUACAUCUUACAGGGUAUUUAUUCUUAUUGUUACGAAUCUAUUAUGUUAAUGCGCCUAUUGAGGGGAGACUAGAAACUUUAGAAGUGAUGGGUUCAAAAGAAUCUCAGCUCAUAUAGAAGAUAUUACAUCCGGUUAGGAAGCAAGUAAGUUAUCAAAUGUUUUAGUUUCUUUUCUCUUUCUUUCUUUCUUCAUGUACUCGGCCAAAUGGUCACUGGCUUAGCUAAGACAAACAAUGAAAGUAUUAAGAAAAUGAAAGUAUUAAGAAAUUUUGAAUUAUUGACUUUAUAAGUUCUUAAAACUUGGAAGACAAAAUGUAUGUUGUGCCUUUUUGGUAGAUCAGAAAGCACUUCUAUACGAGAAAACAUGCUUUAGCGAUUUAGAAAGAUGAUUAUUUUUAAGCUGAGUAGCUUAUUUUGUUUAAGAAAUUUUGAAUUAUUGACUUUAUAAGUUCUUAAAACUUGGAAGACAAAAUGUAUGUUGUGCCUUUUUGGUAGAUCAGAAAGCACUUCUAUACGAGAAAACAUGCUUUAGCGAUUUAGAAAGAUGAUUAUUUUUAAGCUGAGUAGCUUAUUUUGUUUAAUGGUCUCAUUAUUCUUUUCUUGCAUACUGAUCCUCUCAAAUGUUUAAGUAGGCUUUGAAAAAUGAAUGACGAAAAUGUUACUAUUUUGAAUGAACAUUUCGAUGUGGUAAGCUUAAAAAAGUGUAUGUUUGACUUUAUUUAACAUUAUUAAAAAUAAGUCUUGAUCAUAAAACAAUCAGUUAAAUACUUUCCAUUAAUUUUAAGGUCCAUAUUCAUCUCGCUGUUAUGUUAUCACCAGGUUAUGUUAUUUUGUUUUUAUUCAUUUGUUUAGGUCAAAAGGAUCCGUUUUAAUAGUUUGGAUUCUAAUAGUAUGAUUGUUAUUCUAAUAGUGUGUGGUUGAAAUUCUUGGCGUUAUAAAAACUAAAAAGAAAGACGAGGUUGGAUUCUAAUAGUAUGAUUUUUAUGCUAUUACUCUUUGAUGUGUGUAAAAUGCAACAUAUAAAUUACAUCAAAUAAGGCAUAAAACUAACCCUUUUUAAGUACUAAUGUUGGAAAAAGAGUGUUUUUGUCUUCCUUUUGUAUUUUCAGGAUUAAAUGAGCUCAAAUUAACAAAAGAAGCAAAAAGGCAGCUAAAUCUAACUUAAAUACAAGAAAAGGAACAUAAGUGGAUUGCCCGACCCCUCGACAGCAUCCUCUCAAGCAAAACAGAGAAGGCAGAAGACUGAACACGCCCCGUGCUCAGCCAGCAUGGGGCCGUGCCCAAGAAGCAGCAGAUAAGACAAACCUAUAGAAGCUUCUAUUGCCCACCACGGGGCCGUGCCCAGUGAACACGGGGGUGUGGCGAAAGUACUACAGGCGCAUUAAUUGUAAUUGUGAAUUACAAUUAAUGAGGAGAGAGAUUGUCAGACUGGCACGGGGCCGUGUCCAGCGGACACGGGGCCGUGCCCAGGCUUCUGUUCAGCCUAUAAAUAGGAGUGCUUGGUUUCAUUGCAACUCAUCCCUUGGCACACCACCUCUCUCACACUUCAUCCACCACCCACCACCAUCACAACACCAUCAUCCACCACCCACCACCAUCACAACACCAUCAUCCACCACCAUCAUCCAUUGUCCAUCAUAGAGUGUGUGAGUCGUCUCGGGAUCCAAGAUUGAUCGUAAGAGUUCUUGACAAUCAAGGCCAUGUUUGCCUAAGUCUCUUACAUCACUUGGUGAAGACAAGUGUUUAGUAUAAUACUUUUUAUUUUUAAUCUUUUGCACUUUUUAUUUGGUUUUGUAUUAAUGACUUUAAUAACUAGUUACUUAUGUUGAAGGUGAUUUUUCCUUAUCGUUUGUCCGUGGUGUCUUGGCAUUAUUUUACUGGCUAUAUAAAAUAAAAGAUUUUCACCA
This is a long non-coding RNA of Helianthus annuus (common sunflower), 2160 nucleotides long. RefSeq lists it as uncharacterized. The record is from RefSeq and is a predicted model, not a curated record. The transcript is spliced from 3 exons. Lineage: Eukaryota; Viridiplantae; Streptophyta; Magnoliopsida; Asterales; Asteraceae.